Peromyscus maniculatus bairdii (prairie deer mouse) is the source of this 1167-nucleotide non-coding RNA. The record is from RefSeq and is a predicted model, not a curated record. Lineage: Eukaryota; Metazoa; Chordata; Mammalia; Rodentia; Cricetidae.
CCCCUGCCAGCGGCUCUGGGGAGUGCAGAGGGCUGACCCUGUGUACCUAUUCUGGAGGAGACAACCAGGCCAAGCUUGAUUGUAUCAGUAUGCUUAUCAGGUCUUGUAAACACAUUUUAAGUGUAGAAUGAGGAGAGCAGUUUAUACUGGGAGAACCCAGAGCUGCCCUUUGGAGAAUGUGGCACCAAAGUAGGCCUUGGUGAACACUGAGACUCUUCACCAAAGAAGCAGCCCUUGUGGGGCAUCCUGAUUUGAGCCAUAAGUCAGUGCUUGGGAGGCCCCCCCCCAAAAAAGAAAUAACCCCUUGCCUUGUUCUUCUUAAUAAGGGCAUUCUAAAUACCUUUGUUGGAAAUGCUUACAAAAAUGUCUGGCUCGAAGUUGGGUUGGAAGCCACGGAAACACGGAACAUGCUGUCACCUGGAACUCCAGUGUCCUCAGAGGCCCACGUUUCCCCAGGCUGCUGCCAUUAGCAGAGGGUAGAACCUUUAAGGGGUAGGGCCUACUGAGAGGUUUCAAGUAGUGGAAGCCUGGCUUAAAGAGGACUGAGGGUCCCUGGUCUGCUCUUUCUCUUUUCCAUUCCUGGCCAUGAGGUGAACCAGCGUCCUCUGCCAUGUCCCCCCGCCAUGAUGUACCGCCUUACUACAUGCUCCCAAGCAACGGGACCCACAGAAUGUGAGUAAUUGCGCUGUCUGGCUCCAGAUUCCGUGGGGAGGUAGAGGUGGGAGUGGAUGGAGAAGCUUAAUUCAAGGUCUGAAGGGCGUCCUCUUCCUCUAGACAGAAGCCAGGAGGCAUGCAUGAAAAUCCAGAGGAAGCAUCCUCACUCUUCCCUGAUCAGGUAUUUCCAGUAUGUGCACCGAAUGCCGAUCUGCUCUUGCUCUCAGGCACCACUGGUCUCUGCCCUCAGGGGGCCAGUCAGUGUUGUCACCAGCCAGCUCUGAUGGAGACCUGCAGAGUCCUAACAGCGCUCCCGUCCUUGUGCCUCUACGUCUGAUCCACCUCUUGAGUUUUUAAUCAUUGCAAUCACCAGCCCUGUUUUCUCUCUCCAUUUCCAUGCCUGCCAUUUUCACUGUUCACCCCUGGACAGCAGAAAGUUUCCUAGGCUACUGCCACCUACUUCUCCCCCUCGUCCAAUAAUGCACAAUAAUAAUGAUACUAAUUGAUGCUGAA